This 775-nucleotide long non-coding RNA is filed under the name Dromaius novaehollandiae (emu). Its description in RNAcentral is "lncRNA (ENSDNVG00000002594.1)". Lineage: Eukaryota; Metazoa; Chordata; Aves; Casuariiformes; Dromaiidae. The record is from RNAcentral.
AGCUAUCACUCUUUUCCUAUUUUAUGAUUCAAGUUUAUUGUAAUUAAGACUACUUUCUGCAAUUUCUUGUUGAUAAGAUGGUAUUAUUUUUGUUAGAUUGCCUGGUCUCUUGGAAAGCUCUUCUGAUAAAAUAAAAAUAUGGAAAAAACGAGCAUGCUCUGUUCCUGAGACUAAUAUAACGACCUGUGACAAGCAAAAGCUAAAUCCGUCAUCAGGGCAUACAUCCCAUCCAGCUAGAGUGUCUGAAACAUCUUUGAAUUCUGAUUUUACAAAAUACAAGGAUAUGAAAGAGGAAGCUGGUAUUUUCUUUAGAAAAGAGACUGCAAAUUAUAAACAGUCAAAGAUGAAAACAAAGUCUAAGGAAAUGAAAGAAGCAACAAAAUUACUAAUUAGUAACAUCAGUGACAGAUAUAAACAAAAGAUUGACGAUAAAAGCAAAUCAAGAGACUCGUCAGGUUAUAGCAGGUAUGAUGUUAACUGUUUACUCUUGUGCUUACUCUUCUUGUGUUUGUGCAUGUGGCUUUGUGUAUGACUUACUCUUCUAUCUACAGGUAUUUCACAUUCUGCUUUCAUCAGAAUUCUUUGUUCGCUUCUGGUAAACCUCGUCCUACCAAAGCGUAGGAGACUAGCAGUCUGUUUAGUAGUCCCAGUAGCUGAGAUCACUGCAGGGGUUGUCAGAAAUUCUGUUCAGUGUUCUUYCACUCAUCCACUCACUGAUAGCACUUUUCAUGGGAAGAAUUUAAUUGGGACACUUGAUGGAUGUUGCACGAUGUGU